GACGAACGCUGGCGGCGUGCUUAACACAUGCAAGUCGAACGGAAAGGCCCCUUUCGUGGGGUACUCGAGUGGCGAACGGGUGAGUAACACGCGCGUAACCUGCCCUUGUCUUUGGGAUAACUUCAGGAAACUGGGGCUAAUACCGGAUAGGAGCUCCUGCUUCAUGGUGGGGGUUGGAAAGUUUCGGCGGUUGGGUAUUGACUCGCGGCUUAUCAGCUUGUUGUUGGGGUAGUGGCUUACCAAGGCUUUGACGGGAAGCCGGCCUGAGGAGGUGACCGGCCAAAGUGGGGCCGAGGUAAGGCCCAAGCGCCGAAGGGGGGGAACAGUGGGGAAGAUUGAACAAGGGGUGGGAGGCGGAUGCAGCAACGCCGGGGGCGGGAAGACGGCCUUCGGGGUGGAAAACGAAUUCGCUCGUGACGAAGCUUUGUGUGACGGUAGUGGGUAAAGAAGCACCGGCUAACUACGUG
RNAcentral lists this ribosomal RNA (467 nucleotides) under uncultured bacterium. Its description in RNAcentral is "partial 16S ribosomal RNA". It matches the Rfam family "Bacterial small subunit ribosomal RNA", at positions 28 to 507 of the family's 1533-position model. The record is from RNAcentral.